AGGUGCCUCCAGCCCCAAAAUAGUGACGAGAUGGUUGGGGCAUUUUCUUCAGAUGGAGACUAGUUUUUCAUCCUUUUUAUAUUUAUUUUUGGUGCCUUCUCCUUGGCAAACUUCUAUAAAUAAAUUUUUAGUUAAUAAAGUAUAUUUUCAUUAUGUUUAUAUCUCACAUGAAGUCUUUUGCUUCUUUAUUAUGCUGGUA
RNAcentral lists this long non-coding RNA (199 nucleotides) under Elaeis guineensis (African oil palm). Its description in RNAcentral is "long non-coding RNA (EGUI_LNC036256)". The record is from RNAcentral. Lineage: Eukaryota; Viridiplantae; Streptophyta; Magnoliopsida; Arecales; Arecaceae.